UACGGAGGGUGCAAGCGUUGUCCGGAAUCACUGGGCGUAAAGGGCGCGUAGGCGGCUCAUGAAGGCUGUGGGGAAAGUCCGGGGCUCAACCUCGGAUCGGCCGUGGCGACUCGUGGGCUGGAGCACUGUAGAGGCGGGUGGAAUUCCGGGUGUAGCGGUGGAAUGCGUAGAGAUCCGGAAGAACACCAGUGGCGAAGGCGGCCCGCUGGGCAGUGGCUGACGCUGAGGCGCGACAGCGUGGGGAGCAAACAGG
RNAcentral lists this ribosomal RNA (253 nucleotides) under uncultured bacterium. RNAcentral describes it as "partial 16S ribosomal RNA". It matches the Rfam family "Bacterial small subunit ribosomal RNA", at positions 524 to 776 of the family's 1533-position model. The record is from RNAcentral.